This 639-nucleotide ribosomal RNA is filed under the name Cyprinus pellegrini. Its description in RNAcentral is "partial 16S ribosomal RNA". It matches the Rfam family "Bacterial large subunit ribosomal RNA", at positions 1783 to 2625 of the family's 2925-position model. The record is from RNAcentral. Lineage: Eukaryota; Metazoa; Chordata; Actinopteri; Cypriniformes; Cyprinidae.
AAUCAUUCCCCCCUUUUUUUUUCAAACAUCGCCUCCUGCAACGCAACCAAGUAUAGGAGGUCCAGCCUGCCCAGUGACUACAAGUUCAACGGCCGCGGUAUUUUGACCGUGCAAAGGUAGCGCAAUCACUUGUCUUUUAAAUAGAGACCUGUAUGAAUGGCUAAACGAGGGCUUAACUGUCUCCCCUUUCAAGUCAGUGAAAUUGAUCUACCCGUGCAGAAGCGGGUAUAAUACUACAAGACGAGAAGACCCUUUGGAGCUUAAGGUACAAAACUCAACCACGUUAAGCAACUCAAUAAAAAGCAAAAACCUUGUGGACCAUGAGAUUUUACCUUCGGUUGGGGCGACCACGGAGGAAAGAAAAGCCUCCAGGUGGACUGGGAAAACCUCCUAAAACCAAGAGAGACAUCUCUAAGCCACAGAACAUCUGACCAAAUAUGAUCCGGCUAACACAUAGCCGAUCAACGAACCAAGUUACCCUAGGGAUAACAGCGCAAUCCUCUCCCAGAGUCCAUAUCGACGAGGGGGUUUACGACCUCGAUGUUGGAUCAGGACAUCCUAAUGGUGCAGCCGCUAUUAAGGGUUCGUUUGUUCAACGAUUAAAGUCCUACGUGAUCUAGUUUCCCAAAACGGGGAAAA